Long non-coding RNA from Lontra canadensis (Northern American river otter), 925 nucleotides. RefSeq lists it as uncharacterized. The transcript has 2 exons. NCBI's taxonomy places the organism in Eukaryota, Metazoa, Chordata, Mammalia, Carnivora, Mustelidae. The record is from RefSeq and is a predicted model, not a curated record.
GGGCUCAGUCCCACAUCCCACAUUACCCUGGGAUCAUGACCUGAGCCGAAAGAAGACGCUUAAUAACAGCCACCCAGGCGCCCUGGCAGCUGGGUUUUAAAGGUGAGCAUCCCAAAAGAGAGACUGAUAGAAGCUGCUCUUCUAACCUUGCCUUGGAAGUUACAGAGUGUGGCCACAAGUAGGAUCUCCUGGAUUUUUCUUUUUCUUUUUUAAUGAGCCUUGUAGCAUUAUAUGCAAUGAAAUGCCUACAGCCCAGGCUGCCACCUUGACUCACUACGGGUUUGGGAGAGAUUUUGAGACAGAUGUACCAGCUAAAUGGCCCAGAUUUGUGAUCCACAGAAACUGUGAGAUAAUAUUUGUUAUUUUAAGUCACUAAGUUUUGGGGUAAACUUAGCAAUAACCAAUUAGCUAAAGAGAAGUGAGAGAGCCUUGAAUAGUGUUGAGUCAUUGUGCUUCUCCUUAUACGCUUGACUUGGCAAGCUUGUCCAUGCCCAUAAUUUCAAUAAUGCUGUGCAGGGACUCCCAGAUUUGUAUCUCCAUCCCAGAACUCUCUUGUGAACUACAGACUUUUACAUCUAGCAGCCUGCUAGACUUCUGUACUUGGCAGUUCCACAGACACUUCUCAUUCAGCUUAUCAAAAAUUGAACUUGUAAACCGUGGACUUUGGGUGAUAAUGAUGUGUCUCAAGCUGCCACUGCCUAUCUCUGUUGAAAACCUCCCGAGUCCCCUCAGGGCUGCUGCUGACCCAGGAGCAAAGAAUAUGCUCUUCGCUCUCAAAGCUUCCUGCAGCCUGGGUCAUCUGGCUUUUACAGAUAAUGGAGUGUGUUGUUUGGUUAUAUAAACUGUCAAUUUUAUUAUGAAGGAUCUUUGUUUAGAAAGAUCUAGUUUUUUAAUCUGCAAAUAAAAAGUACUAAAGGGAAAUGCA